This 421-nucleotide ribosomal RNA is filed under the name uncultured bacterium. RNAcentral's name for it is "partial 16S ribosomal RNA". It matches the Rfam family "Bacterial small subunit ribosomal RNA", at positions 360 to 773 of the family's 1533-position model. The record is from RNAcentral.
AAUCUUCCGCAAUGGACGAAAGUCUGACGGAGCAACGUCGCGUGAAGGAUGAAGGCCUUCGGGUUGUAAAGCACUUUUGGCAGGGAAGAAAAGGCGCCGGAUAAUACCUGGCGCCGCUGACGGUACCUGCAGAAUAAGCACCGGCUAACUACGUGCCAGCAGCCGCGGUAAUACGUAGGGUGCAAGCGUUAAUCGGAAUUACUGGGCGUAAAGCGUGCGCAGGCGGUUCGGAAAGAAAGAUGUGAAAUCCCAGGGCUUAACCUUGGAACUGCAUUUUUAACUGCCGGGCUAGAGUAUGUCAGAGGGGGGUAGAAUUCCACGUGUAGCAGUGAAAUGCGUAGAGAUGUGGAGGAAUACCGAUGGCGAAGGCAGCCCCCUGGGAUAAUACUGACGCUCAUGCACGAAAGCGUGGGGAGCAAAC